Apus apus (common swift) is the source of this 673-nucleotide long non-coding RNA. RefSeq lists it as uncharacterized. NCBI's taxonomy places the organism in Eukaryota, Metazoa, Chordata, Aves, Apodiformes, Apodidae. The record is from RefSeq and is a predicted model, not a curated record. The transcript has 4 exons.
AAGCGGCUCUGGGGAACGCCCGUGGUGACCUGAGCGGCGAGGGCAGAGCGGGGCGGCCUUCCCGGGGCUGCAGAAACCACGGCACACGUGGCGGGGUGGAGUGCAAAUCCAAGUUUGAUAUGUGCGUGAUCUGUGUGUACAAAAGUAUCAGCUGGCUGCUGGGACCUCUUCUGAGGGCAGCUAGCUCUGGAAUGAAAUUCUGAUUUUUGCAGGGCCAGGCCUGGAGUGGAAAGAUUCUCAUGAGAAAGGGAAAGGCCUAGCAAGCUCUGAGGUGGCAACAACCCUCAAAGGUACAGAGGGUACAGAGGAACAGAGGCCAAGAGCCCACGGCGACCAAGGGCUUGUUUAGGGUCUGGAACACCCAGUGGAGGGGAAGCCAAUCUUCAGUCCUCACCGUGGCAUCUCCAGGGAACAAAACAGUAGGAGGCAGUAACCAAGUCUCCACUCUACGGGAAACACCCAGGUGACCCAAGCUUGCUCUGGCUUUCUUCCUGCGGCACAACUCUGACACCCGGUGGCCGGGAGGGAAAUGCAGACACAGGAUCAGCCUGGCUACUGCCAACAGCUACGUACUGGGGAGACAACCCACACACUUCAGGCCACGUUUCACGAGUAAGCUGUGUCUCUGUCUGCACCUGCUGAUAAAAGUGACAACGACCGACACUUACCAACG